AGUGAACGCUGGCGGUAGGCCUAACACAUGCAAGUCGAACGGCAGCACAGUAAGAGCUUGCUCUUACGGGUGGCGAGUGGCGGACGGGUGAGGAAUACAUCGGAAUCUACUUUUUCGUGGGGGAUAACGUAGGGAAACUUACGCUAAUACCGCAUACGACCUACGGGUGAAAGCAGGGGAACUUCGGACCUUGCGCGAUUGAAUGAGCCGAUGUCGGAUUAGCUAGUUGGCGGGGUAAAGGCCCACCAAGGCGACGAUCCGUAGCUGGUCUGAGAGGAUGGUCAGCCACACUGGAACUGAGACACGGUCCAGACUCCUACGGGAGGCAGCAGUGGGGAAUAUUGGACAAUGGGCGCAAGCCUGAUCCAGCCAUACCGCGUGGGUGAAGAAGGCCUUCGGGUUGUAAAGCCCUUUUGUUGGGAAAGAAAAGCAGCAGGUUAAGACCCCGCUGUUCGGACGGUACCCAAAGAAUAAGCACCGGCUAACUUCGU
Molecule: ribosomal RNA, 491 nt
Filed under: uncultured bacterium
Lineage: Bacteria
Description: partial 16S ribosomal RNA
Rfam family: Bacterial small subunit ribosomal RNA
Source: RNAcentral